GGGCUAGCGGCUCCGGCACAUCCCCCGCCAGCGGCGGCCCCCAGCUGUCUCGGAGCUCCCGGCGCGGCUGCGUCCGCGGGACCAAUCAAAGGCACCGACUUCCAGCAACCACCGAGGCGGCGCGGCCGGAAGGGACCGAGGCAGCGCCCUUCUAGCCCGCCCCCGCCUGCCUCUAUGGUUCCGCUCCGCGCGCCCCGCCCCCAGUGGCUGGGCCUCGCCUGUGCGGAAGAGGGGGAGUUAGAAGUGCCAGUCAGAAGUCAGUUGGAAGGCGAGGGGCGUGCACGGUUUUGUAGACUAAUACAUAAGUAGGCAGGCAGAAGUGAGGUGAAGGACUGUUGCUGUAUCAGUACCUGUAAGAAAACAUGCAAGCCAGUUUCUGCAGUCAUACAGUAUACAUACAAGAACUGUAUGGCUUCAAUGAAUAUGUCCAAAUGCAAUGACAACUGCAUGAAAAAAAAGAACAUCGAUUACAAAGAACACCAGUGUUGUUGCUGCCAGGAAGAAAAAAUUGAGACUCGCUCUGGGACUCUCAUUUGCAAUGAGAAAACCAUAGAUUUCAAAUACAAAAAUGUCUUGUCUUGCACAUGCAAAAAUUGCAAUGAACUAUAAGAUACUAUGA
Molecule: RNA transcript, 619 nt
Organism: Alligator sinensis (Chinese alligator)
Lineage: Eukaryota; Metazoa; Chordata; Crocodylia; Alligatoridae
Exons: 4
Source: RefSeq, a predicted model, not a curated record